CCAAGCCUGAGGCUUUCCUUGACUACGGCAUCCCUGAGGACACGAAGGGAGAGCUGGAAGGGUCUUUCACAAUGUAAACACUUCCCAGGAUCAUCACCUCCGGUUUCUGCAGACGCACGUUUGUUUCAGGAAACAAGUGGAAGAGCAGCAUGCUGCCAAGUGUAUGGAUGCUAAGCUCCGAUUCUCUGCCUUUGAUCCUCAGGUAACUACUUAUUCCUACGCCAACUGGACUCUCAAUGCUGCUGAACUGGAAUGCAAUCAUCCUGCGUUGCUCUGCUAGUGUGAACAAAG
This is a long non-coding RNA of Chroicocephalus ridibundus (black-headed gull), 291 nucleotides long. RefSeq lists it as uncharacterized. The record is from RefSeq and is a predicted model, not a curated record. Lineage: Eukaryota; Metazoa; Chordata; Aves; Charadriiformes; Laridae. The transcript is spliced from 3 exons.